This 253-nucleotide ribosomal RNA is filed under the name uncultured bacterium. RNAcentral's name for it is "partial 16S ribosomal RNA". It matches the Rfam family "Bacterial small subunit ribosomal RNA", at positions 524 to 776 of the family's 1533-position model. The record is from RNAcentral.
UACGAAGGGGGCUAGCGUUGCUCGGAAUCACUGGGCGUAAAGGGUGCGCAGGCGGUUGGGUGUGUCAGAUGUGAAAUCCCGAGGCUCAACCUCGGAACUGCGUCUGAAACUACUCGACUAGAGUACUGGAGAGGGUAACGGAAUUCACGGUGUAGCAGUGAAAUGCGUAGAUAUCGUGAGGAACACCAGAGGCGAAGGCGGUUACCUGGACAGUUACUGACGCUCAGGCACGAAAGCAUGGGGAGCAAAAGGG